Molecule: ribosomal RNA, 99 nt
Filed under: uncultured bacterium
Lineage: Bacteria
Description: partial 16S ribosomal RNA
Rfam family: Bacterial small subunit ribosomal RNA
Source: RNAcentral
UACACACCGCCCGUCACGUCAUGGAAGAUGGAAACACUUGAAGUCGUCAGGCUAACCUUCGGGAGGCAGACGCCGAGAGUGGGUCCGUUGACUGGGACG